AGAGUUUGAUCCUGGCUCAGAAUGAACGCUGGCGGCGUGCCUAAUACAUGCAAGUCGUGCGGCAGCAUGCCCUUCGGGGUGAUGGCGAGCGGCGGACGGCUGAGUAACGCGUAGGAAUCUACCCCAAAGUGAGGAAUAACCUCGAGAAAUCGAGGCUAAUGCCGCAUAUGGUCUUCGGAUUAAAGGAUUUAUCCGCUUUGGGAAGAGCCUGCGUAAGAUUAGCCAGUUGGUGAGGUAAUGGCUCACCAAAGCUACGAUCUUUAGCUGGUCUGAGAGGAUGACCAGCCAGACUGGAACUGAGACACGGUCCAGACUCCUACGGGAGGCAGCAGUAAGGAAUCUUCCACAAUGGGCGAAAGCCUGAUGGAGCAACGCCGCGUGCAGGAUGAAGGCCCUCGGGUCGUAAACUGCUUUUAUAAGUGAGGAAUAUGACGGUAGCUUAUGAAUAAGGAUCGGCUAACUCCGUGCCAGCAGCCGCGGUCAUACGGAGGAUCCAAGCGUUAUUCGGAGUGACUGGGCGUAAAGAGUUGCGUAGGGGGUUUGUUAAGCGAAUAGUGAAAUCUUGUGGCUCAACCAUAAGGCUAUUAUUCGAACUGGCAGACUUGAGAAUAUGAGAGGUAGAUGGAAUUUCUAGUGUAGGAGUGAAAUCCGUAGAUAUUAGAAGGAACACCAAUGGCGUAGGCAGUCUACUGGCAUAUUUCUGACCCUGAGGCACGAAAGCGUGGGGAGCGAACCGGAUUAGAUACCCGGGUAGUCCACGCCGUAAACUAUGGAUGCUAGUUGUUGGCCGUAUCGACCCGGUCAGUAACGAAGCUAACGCGUUAAGCAUCCCGCCUGGGGAGUACGGUCGCAAGAUUAAAACUCAAAGGAAUUGACGGGGACCCGCACAAGCGGUGGAGCGUGUUGUUUAAUUCGAGGCUAAGCGAAGAACCUUACCAGGGUUUGACAUCCUUGGAAUUUCUGCGAAAGCAGAGAGUGCCUUCGGGAACCAAGUGACAGGUGUUGCAUGGCCGUCGUCAGCUCGUGUCGUGAGAUGUUUGGUUAAGUCCAUCAACGAGCGCAACCCUUAUGAAUAGUUGUAUUUUUCUAUUCAGACUGCCCCGGUAACGGGGAGGAAGGGGGGGAUGAUGUCAGGUCUGUAUUACCCUUAUAUCCUGGGCUACAAACGCGCUACAAUGGCCGGUACAAAGGGCUGCUAAGUCGCGAGACGGAGCAAAUCCCAUCAAAGCCGGUCCCAGUUCGGAUUGCAGGCUGAAACUCGCCUGCAUGAAGCCGGAAUCGCUAGUAAUCGCAGGUCAGCACACUGCGGUGAAUACGUUCCCGGGUCUUGUACACACCGCCCGUCAAACCAUGAAAGUCACCAACACCCGAAGUCCUAACUCGUUUAGGCCUAAGGUGGGGGGGAUGAUUGGGGUUAAGUCGUAACAAGGUAUCCGUACCGGAA
RNAcentral lists this ribosomal RNA (1444 nucleotides) under metagenome. RNAcentral's name for it is "bacterial SSU rRNA". It matches the Rfam family "Bacterial small subunit ribosomal RNA". The record is from RNAcentral.